This 438-nucleotide ribosomal RNA is filed under the name uncultured microorganism. RNAcentral's name for it is "bacterial SSU rRNA". It matches the Rfam family "Bacterial small subunit ribosomal RNA", at positions 342 to 795 of the family's 1533-position model. The record is from RNAcentral.
CGGGGGGCUGCAGUCAAGAAUCUUCCACAAUGGCCGAAAGGCUGAUGGAGCGACACCGCGUGCAGGAAGACGCCCUUCGGGGUGUAAACUGCUUUUAAGAGGGACGAACUAAUGACGGUACCUUUUGAAUAAGGGGUUGCUAACCUCGUGCCAGCAGCAGCGGUAAUACGAGGGCCCCAAGCGUUAUCCGGAUUUACUGGGCGUAAAGCGUCCGCAGGCGGUUUGGUAAGUUUUUAGUGAAAUACCGAGGCUCAACCUCGGGCCCGCUAAAGAUACUGCCAAACUAGAGACUGGAAGAGGUAAGCGGAACUGCCGGUGUAGCGGUAAAAUGUGUUAAUAUCGGCAGGAACACCAAAGGCGAAGGCAGCUUACUGGUACAGUUCUGACGCUAAUGGACGAAAGCGUGGGGAGCGAAAGGGAUUAGAUACCCCUGUAGUC